UCCUCGGUGGUAUAGUGGUGAGUAUCCGCGCCUGUCAUGUGCGAGACCGGGGUUCCAUUCCCGGCCGGGGAG
Molecule: transfer RNA, 72 nt
Organism: Toxocara canis (dog roundworm)
Lineage: Eukaryota; Metazoa; Nematoda; Chromadorea; Rhabditida; Toxocaridae
Rfam family: tRNA
About the family: Transfer RNA (tRNA) molecules are approximately 80 nucleotides in length. Their secondary structure includes four short double-helical elements and three loops (D, anti-codon, and T loops).
Source: Rfam